Molecule: ribosomal RNA, 398 nt
Filed under: uncultured bacterium
Lineage: Bacteria
Description: bacterial SSU rRNA
Rfam family: Bacterial small subunit ribosomal RNA
Source: RNAcentral
AACGAACGCUGGCGGCGCGCCUAAUACAUGCAAGUCGAGCGAGAAGACGUAGCAAUACGUUUGUAAAGCGGCGAACGGGUGAGGAAUACAUGGGUAACCUACCCUCGAGUGGGGAAUAACUAGCCGAAAGGUUAGCUAAUACCGCGUACGCUCCUUGGACUUCGGUUCAGGGAGGAAAGCGAUACCGUGGGUAUCGCGCUCUUGGAUGGGCUCAUGUCCUAUCAGCUUGUUGGUGAGGUAACGGCUCACCAAGGCUUCGACGGGUAGCUGGUCUGAGAGGACGAUCAGCCACACUGGCACUGCGACACGGGCCAGACUCCUACGGGAGGCAGCAGUAAGGAAUAUUGCGCAAUGGGCGAAAGCCUGACGCAGCGACGCCGCGGUGGGGGAGUGAAGGU